RNAcentral lists this transfer RNA (88 nucleotides) under Bacteroidaceae bacterium. RNAcentral describes it as "tRNA-Ser". It matches the Rfam family "tRNA". Rfam says of the family: Transfer RNA (tRNA) molecules are approximately 80 nucleotides in length. Their secondary structure includes four short double-helical elements and three loops (D, anti-codon, and T loops). The record is from RNAcentral. RNAcentral also lists the same sequence under 1 other name. Lineage: Bacteria; Pseudomonadati; Bacteroidota; Bacteroidia; Bacteroidales; Bacteroidaceae.
GGAGAGAUGCUCGAGUGGCUGAAGAGGCACGCCUGGAAAGCGUGUAAGCGUCAAAAGCGCUUCGGGGGUUCGAAUCCCCCUCUCUCCG